GUGAGGAAUAUUGGGCAAUGGGCGAAAGCCUGACCCAGCCACGCCGCGUGAGUGAUGAAGGCCUUCGGGUUGUAAAGCUCUGUGGGGAGGGAAGAAAAAGCGGGAGAGUAACUGCUCUCGUGUUGACGGUACCUCCUUAGCAAGCACCGGCUAACUCUGUGCCAGCAGCCGCGGUAAUACAGAGGGUGCAAACGUUGCUCGGAAUUACUUGGCGUAAAGCGCGUGUAGGCUGACAUGCAAGUCGGGUGUGAAAUCCCAGGGCUCAACCUUGGAACUGCACUCGAAACUGCACGUCUUGAGUACUGGAGAGGGAAGCGGAAUUCCGGGUGUAGAGGUGAAAUUCGUAGAUAUCCGGAGGAACACCAGUGGCGAAGGCGGCUUCCUGGACAGUAACUGACGCUGAGACGCGAAAGCGUGGGGAGCAAACAGGAUUAGAAACCCCAGUAGUCC
RNAcentral lists this ribosomal RNA (450 nucleotides) under uncultured bacterium. RNAcentral's name for it is "partial 16S ribosomal RNA". It matches the Rfam family "Bacterial small subunit ribosomal RNA", at positions 354 to 796 of the family's 1533-position model. The record is from RNAcentral.